GCUGUGGAUUGUCCUUUGGACAAUGGUAGGAGAGCGUUCUAAGGGCGUUGAAGCAUGAUCGUAAGGACAUGUGGAGCGCUUAGAAGUGAGAAUGCCGGUGUGAGUAGCGAAAGACGGGUGAGAAUCCCGUCCACCGAUUGACUAAGGUUUCCAGAGGAAGGCUCGUCCGCUCUGGGUUAGUCGGGUCCUAAGCUGAGGCCGACAGGCGUAGGCGAUGGAUAACAGGUUGAUAUUCCUGUACCACCUAUAAUCGUUUUAAUCGAUGGGGGGACGCAGUAGGAUAGGCGAAGCGUGCGAUUGGAUUGCACGUCUAAGCAGUAAGGCUGAGUAUUAGGCAAAUCCGGUACUCGUUAAGGCUGA
Molecule: ribosomal RNA, 360 nt
Filed under: Staphylococcus aureus
Lineage: Bacteria; Bacillati; Bacillota; Bacilli; Caryophanales; Staphylococcaceae
Description: partial 23S ribosomal RNA
Rfam family: Bacterial large subunit ribosomal RNA
Source: RNAcentral